GACGAACGCUGGCGGCGUGCUUAACACAUGCAAGUCGAACGGAAAGGCCCUGCUUUUGUGGGGUGCUCGAUUGGCGAACGGGUGAGUAACACGUGAGUAACCUGCCCUUGACUUUGGGAUAACUUCAGGAAACUGGGGCUAAUACCGGAUAGGAGCUCCUGCUGCAUGGUGGUGGUUGGAAAGUUUCGGCGGUUGGGGAUGGACUCGCGGCUUAUCCGCUUGUUGGUGGGGUAGUGGCUUACCAAGGCUUUGACGGGUAGCCGGCCUGAGAGGGUGACCGGCCACAUUGGGACUGAGAUACGGCCCAGACUCCUACGGGAGGCAGCAGUGGGGAAUAUUGCACAAUGGGCGGAAGCCUGAUGCAGCAACGCCGCGUGCGGGAUGACGGCCUUCGGGUUGUAAACCGCUUUCGCCUGUGACGAAGCGUGAGUGACGGUAAUGGGUAAAGAAGCACCGGCUAACUACGUG
Molecule: ribosomal RNA, 468 nt
Filed under: uncultured bacterium
Lineage: Bacteria
Description: partial 16S ribosomal RNA
Rfam family: Bacterial small subunit ribosomal RNA
Source: RNAcentral